GAGGAAUAUUGGUCAAUGGGCGCAGGCCUGAACCAGCCAAGUAGCGUGAAGGAUGACUGCCCUAUGGGUUGUAAACUUCUUUUAUAUGGGAAUAAAGUUUUCCACGUGUGGAAUUUUGUAUGUACCAUAUGAAUAAGGAUCGGCUAACUCCGUGCCAGCAGCCGCGGUAAUACGGAGGAUCCGAGCGUUAUCCGGAUUUAUUGGGUUUAAAGGGAGCGUAGGUGGACAGUUAAGUCAGUUGUGAAAGUUUGCGGCUCAACCGUAAAAUUGCAGUUGAUACUGGCUGUCUUGAGUACAGUAGAGGUGGGCGGAAUUCGUGGUGUAGCGGUGAAAUGCUUAGAUAUCACGAAGAACUCCGAUUGCGAAGGCAGCUCACUGGACUGCAACUGACACUGAUGCUCGAAAGUGUGGGUAUCAAAC
RNAcentral lists this ribosomal RNA (420 nucleotides) under uncultured bacterium. RNAcentral describes it as "bacterial SSU rRNA". It matches the Rfam family "Bacterial small subunit ribosomal RNA", at positions 356 to 773 of the family's 1533-position model. The record is from RNAcentral.